Cicer arietinum (chickpea) is the source of this 108-nucleotide non-coding RNA. NCBI's taxonomy places the organism in Eukaryota, Viridiplantae, Streptophyta, Magnoliopsida, Fabales, Fabaceae. The record is from Rfam.
UAAUGAAGGAAUCAUGGUUGUGUGUACGGAAAUUAAUCUCUUUAGGUUCACAUGUCUGUUCUCUCUGAUCCUUGAUUUGAUUUGAGGACCUGGUUAAAACCUACAUCU